GAACGCACCUUGCACCCUUUGGUAUUCCGAAGGGUAUGCCCGUUUGAGUGUCAUUGUAAUCUCACACCCAAGACUUCUUGUCGAGGGAGGUGGACUUGGACGUUUUGCUGCGUAACUGCGGCUCGUCUCAAAAGUGUCAGCGCGGCUCUAGAUGAAGCGUUUGAUGCCCAGUGUAAUAAGUAUUUCGCUGUGGUUAGCAUUAGUCUAUGAGUUGUUGUGCUCUCUAAUCGUCUUCGGACUGGACCAGCGAUGGUUCAUUUGACAACUUGGCCUCAAAUCGGGUAGGACUACCCGCUGAACUUAAG
Molecule: unclassified non-coding RNA, 305 nt
Filed under: uncultured Sebacinales
Lineage: Eukaryota; Fungi; Basidiomycota; Agaricomycetes; Sebacinales
Description: sequence contains 5.8S rRNA gene
Rfam family: 5.8S ribosomal RNA (bases 1-53)
Source: RNAcentral